GCCCUCUGGCCAGCCCUCGGUUGGAGAUGGCCUAAGUGCUUCAUUCUUGUAUAGCCAAAAUUAAAAAAUUAAAAAAAAAAAAAAACUGUCCAAAACACACACAUUAUGACAUUCAUAUAAAUACAGAGACCCGUUAAACUAAAAGUGACAAUUUGAUGAUCAAGAUAUAUACAUCACAUAUGCAAAUAUCUGUAUAAUAUCUGUAUAAGUACAUAUCCCAUUAACUAGUCAUGCAAGAACACAUUUGAACAGAGAACAAUGUCGACUAAAAGAGGCAUUUCUCCUUCAAUUCUCUAAAGUUUUUGUUUUCAUCUUGGCAUAAUAUGCGGUACUAAAUUGUGGCAACAUGGUGGUUCGAGAACAAAUGCAUACAAAAUAUUACAUUGAAUUACAAAAUACAUUUAAUUAUUAGUUGCUGAAAAAUAAUCAUCUCACUGUAUCCCAAGAGAACUAAAAAUUGAUGACAAAGCACAGAUGAGACAACAAAUGCAUACAAGCCAGCAACCACAUGUAACACUUACAUAAUGACCUGGAUAACGCCCUAGAAAUUAAAAAACAAUUUGAAAUUAAUUCGAAACCCAGUCACAAUCCAACGGUUCUAAUUAAUUCUAAUUAUAAUUAAAAUAUAUAUAUAUAGUUUCGGUUCAGUUCGGGAUUACUAAACUAUUGAAUAGGUAAUACCGAAUCUCGUAUCAAAUGGUUUGAGAUCGGUUCAAAUUUGGAAAUUUCAGUUUGGGAUUUUUUCAAUUUGGGAUAGGGAUUUUUUCGGUUUGGUUCAAAAUUUUGAGGAGUUUUCCUAACACUCGGUACAAAUAUGUGAUAAAAGUAGCAUUUUUGUUUAUUUUCCGCUCCCUAAUUUGAAAUUUGGGUGGUCAAUUGUUGAUGGAUGCCAAAAUAGAAUCCAUAGGUACGUAGAGAAAGUUGCCAGGAGUACCUUUUGUAAUUGGGCCAACCAGAAGAUAUGGGUAGAAACGUUGGAAAACUAAUGGUCAUUGAGGAUUUUUAUGAUGUAUGACCCUACUGCUACAUUAGUGUAAGUCCAAUAUAUUGAUAUCACACUCAUGAGAUUAAUAUAGGGGCUCUUGGAUUUUAGGGCUUAAAUAAGAAUUUUCUUAUAUUUUAACCUAAAUAGUUUUCUAAAUCUAAUUUAAGUU
RNAcentral lists this long non-coding RNA (1154 nucleotides) under Malus domestica (apple). RNAcentral describes it as "long non-coding RNA (MDOM_LNC017658)". Lineage: Eukaryota; Viridiplantae; Streptophyta; Magnoliopsida; Rosales; Rosaceae. The record is from RNAcentral.